RNAcentral lists this ribosomal RNA (326 nucleotides) under uncultured eukaryote. Its description in RNAcentral is "partial 18S ribosomal RNA". It matches the Rfam family "Eukaryotic small subunit ribosomal RNA", at positions 1470 to 1796 of the family's 1831-position model. The record is from RNAcentral.
CCCUUAGAUGUUCUGGGCCGCACGCGCGCUACACUGAUGCAUUCAACAAGCCUAGCCUUGACCGAGAGGUCCGGGUAAUCUUUGAAACUGCAUCGUGAUGGGGCUAGAUUAUUGCAAUUAUUAAUCUUCAACGAGGAAUGCCUAGUAAGCGUGAUUCAUCAAAUCGCGUUGAUUACGUCCCCGCCCUUUGUACACACCGCCCGUCGCUCCUACCGAUUGAAUGUGUUGGUGAGGAGCUCGGAUUGGCAGCAGUUGGUGGUUCGCCACCGGCUAUUGCUGAGAAGUCCUCCAAACCGCCCCAUUUAGAGGAAGGAGAAGUCGUAACA